UUGCUACUUGUGACCAUACAUCAUGUAACAAAAACAGGCUUUAAGCAGUCAACAGGCUUGGUGAAGAUUCUCUGUGUUUUGAGCUUAUCUCAGCCUUAUUUAUGCCAGUGCCCUGAUGUUAAUUGGCUUUUAUAGUACCAGCUUAAUCUUCAUAGUGGUAAGUGCCUUCUGAUGCAAGGCGUGUUUUGAGUAAAUUCGUUUGCUAUCUGCAGAGUUCAUCUUCACACAAUAGCAUUUAAUGAGAUGUGCUUUGUGCUCCAGAUACCCAGCUCUGUAUUCAGGCAUGUGAGAGCAGUUGACUCGGCUGCUUUUUUAAACUGGGCUGCGAUUUGUGUAGCUGAGGGGAGUUUGCAUGUUGGCGUUCUGUUGACGUGGCAGAAGAAUCCUGACCACAGACAGCUCUGCACCUGUGCUGUGUGAGGAUCGUGCUGCUUUAGCAAGUCACAGGCUUAAAGUGCCCCAGGGCGAGCGUGUCAACGUUUGAAACUGAGACUGGCACAGAUACAAACUUCCCUAAGCUGUCUGCACAAAGCCAGCAGCAUCCUUAGAAUGAGGGGAGAAACAGCAAGCCCUGAAGAGAUUCUUUUGCUGUAUUGCUGGCUUAGCCAGCUCCUGGUAUUUCAUGGACAGGAGGGACAGCAGUGUUUUUGCACUUGGUUUUAUGAGAGCAAUUUGUGCCAGCCAUGCAAAAUAUGCAUAGCUUGGCCAGCAGCACCGGGUUUGCCAAGGGACCAGAGAUUUCUAUCUUCAAAUGCAUGUUCUGCUUGCCAGAUCAUUUCAUUAGUUUCAGUCAGCUCUGCCUUACACCUAACUUUAAAAAUGCUUCAAAUGUUUCUGCCAGCAGGUGAGAAAGGGAAAUGGACGCUUUCAGAUUUCCACUGGCAGAUUUUUCUGCAAGGAAAAGUCCUUCUUGUUUUAAUUCUAAGUGUUUAUUCUGCAUUCACACGUCUGCAUGUGUACGAAAGCAAAGGCAGCCAUUAAUGCCUUGCAUCAUACUGUAUGAGAUGCAUUUUGGAAUGUACUGCAUAUUGCAUGGGACACAUGAAAUGCAUAAACCAGACCUAAGGCCAAGGUACAAAAAUACACAGAAUAGAUUUUGUAUAUAUAUUGUGCUUUCAGCCAUAAAGCUAAGAAUGCUAAAGGCAUAUCAUAGCAUCAUAGAAUGACCUGGGUUGGAAGGGACCUUAAAGGUCAUCUCUGUCCAAAGAGGGACACCUUCCACUAGACCAGGUUGCUCAGAGCCCCAUCCUUUAAUAUAGUCAAAACUGGCCAGAGAACUUGAUUGUGAGGUGGGAUCUGUUUGCAUCUUCAUUAUCCUUCCUGCUUUCAAUUGUUUUGAGAUAUGGCUCCAUACCUAGAGUGCUUUUACUGUGGCCUCUCUCCAUCCUGGCCCUGCUCCUAUGGUAGAAUUUGUUUGUGCAACUCCUGACUACAUUUCUCCAGAGUCCUGUUGCCUUCUCAAGUGUUUUCAGUGUGCAGGGAUCUCCCUUGGGAUCAGCACACAACCGUUAUAUUCAAACCUCUGCUCUCUCUCUUGCUGAAAUCAUUAGGAAAAUUCUCAGCCAUUUGUCUCAGUCUGGGAGACAAGUUUGAUGUGGUGAGGGCUCAUAGCUCAGAGGGGGUUGCCCGAAUAAAGCCUAAUUUCUCUUUGCUUCAUGGGACUGAGGCAAAGGUUUGUGAAGGUCUGAGCCUUGGGAACCAUUCUGCAUCCCUUGGUGCAUGCAAUCAGCUGGUGGAUAAAUUGUCCUGGUGAAUAAGUGGGACUGAGGGGCAUGGUGGCAUCCCUGCUGAUUUUGUGUAAAAGUUGUCCAGUUCUUGGUGUGUCUUAGUUUUGGUGGUGUUCUUAGUUAUGUUUUGGGGUCACUUAAUGAAAUCUUUACUGUGAGGCCAAGACAGGGACUGUUCUUCAAAUUUUGUGUUGCUAGAAACUAGCAAAAGAAGCUGCUAUUUAAGAGGAUGUUUUGAGGCUGCUGCCCUCUCCCAGCAGAAUGCCCAUGUUUGGGGAUAUUUUAUGCCUGAGUCUAUCAGCUGGUAAAAGCUCCCCCAGAGUAAGAUAUAAAAAACUCAGGUUGAAACAAGUUCAGGAGGAGUCACAGACAUGCUGAGCCUACGUCAGAAAAUUCCUGUGCCCGUGUCUCCCACAACAGGUUGCUCUCCUGACCAGCAGGACACACAGCUGGGCACUGGGAGUCCAGCAGGAGAAAGAGAUGUGAGGCAGAUCACUGGCAGCACAAUCCCAGCGUGGCUUACACAGAUCCUCUUGGAAAGGGGUGUCCUGCCUUGGGUGGGAUCCAGCAGUGAGUUCCCAGGGGGAAUACAGCAGUGAGCUUCCAGGUGGGAUAUAUCAGUGAGUUUCCAGGUGGGAUCCAGCAGUGAGUUUCCAGGUGGGAUAUAUCAGUGAGUUUCCAGGUGGGAUAUAUCAGUGAUUUUCCAGGUGGGAUAUAUCAGUGAGUUUCUAGGGGGAAUCCAGCAGUGAGUUUUCAAGGGGGAAUUCAGCAGUGAGUUUCCAGGGGGGGAUCCAGCAGUGAGUUUCCAUCCAGGUGGAAUCCAGCAGUGAGUUUCCAUCCAGGUAGAAUCCAGCAGUGCGUUCCCAGGUGGGAUCCAGCAGUGAUUUUCCAGGUGGAAUCCAGCAGUGUGUUUCCAGGGGGGAUCCAGCAGUGAGUUUCUGGUGAGUUUUGGAAUCCCCUGCCUGCAGAUCAUACCCAAGGUGGGAAUGAAUUCUGUGGGGAGCAAGGCAGCUCUGUGCAGUUCUUGUGAGCCACGUUUGUCAGUUCUGAAAAGGAAGUGCACAUGAAAAUGUGUAAAGGAGGAGUGGUGUUUGCUCCCUGGGUUUUCUGUGUUGGCUCUAAGAGAAAUACAGAAUGCCAACAGGAGCGUGGAAAUUGUAAUCUUGGGACUCAUGUAAAUCUUUCUCUAAACACCUCCUGAAAAGCAGUGAAAUCCCAAAGUUAUCAGUAAUGCUUACAGAACUUGUGGAAUUUGACUUUUUUUAAGGAGCCUUCAGAUUUAUUUUGUUUUCACGUGACUGAAAUGACACGGUGGCACCCACUGACCUCACCAGGGGUCUGAAUCACAGCGAUGCUUUCAAAAACCUUACCUCACGCUCUCAGCCCUUGGCACUCCCUGCUCAGAAUGCAGAUCUGUUUCUUCUGAAGGUAGAGCACAUCCCUGUGAAGCCAAGGAGGCACCUGCAGGGACUGUUUCCAUAACAACCUCCCGGACUGUUUCUCUCUGUGCUGUGACUGUGGCUACAAGCGAAAGCACUCGCUGGAUGUUCUGUGUUCCCGUAUCAGCACUUUAUCUUUACAGAUGUUUGCUUUGCUUGCUGGGGCUGAUCCCAUCUCCUUGUACUGUGUACAGCUGCCCUGCCCAGCUGCAGGGGGGCAGUCUCCAGCCUUUGGAAGCAGGGAGUGCACACCUGGGGGUUUUGUCUGUCCAUCCUCGCACCCAGAGCGCUGGAGAGCGUGUGAAGGACAAUCUGAGCACCCAGGGAGCUGAGGGGCAGCCAGCCUGUGACUGUGAGGUCAUCCAGGAGCCUGGUGACAAGGAAUACAAGCUAAAGCAUUGCAUUGAAGACCCAGAAAUUCCCCUUGCAGCAAUCUCACUAGGGAAUAGUUUUGCAGUGGAAGAGACUGUUGCUCCGUCUGGAUCCCGUGGAUGGUUUGAUGGUUUGCUCCCCUGAUAAUUUUCCCACAGGAUGUUUUGCACCAAAGCAGGACAGGGCAGAAAUCAUCUCCUUGGAGGUGGGGAAAGAAGAAUUUUACUGAGGACACCAAUUUUUUAUCCACACAAAGGACUGGAAGCAUGAAAGGUGUGAAGACCUGUUCUGUGGUGUUUUACUGGUGGAUUCCUGCUCUCACCUCCAAGACAAAAUUCCUGUUCUGCUCCUUCUUGGAAAAUGUUGGAAUUUGGGAUUUUUGAGUAAUAUUCUGUUUGGGCCUUUUGAUUCAGCUUUCAUGGAUAAAAAUUCACUGCCACAGCAGCCAGGGGGGGUGAAGGUGACUGGACUUGGUUUGUCUCCUGGGUUCUCUCAUUCAGAGGUUCCUAUGGGAUAAAGAAGAGUAAGUGUAAAGAAAAUUCAGGGCAGCAAGAGACAGGGUAAAGACUGAAGUGUCUUCCACACAGUGAUGGAAAGAACAACAACCCUAAAAGCAAAGGAACAAACAGCUCCAGCAUCUGCUGCUAUUGCAGAAAUAGGUCCUGUUUACAUCAGGGAAAGAUCUGCAGGUUACAGCAGGAGUCAACCACAGCUUUCCCAAAAGCUCUCAUCUGACUCAAGUCCAAGCUGGAUUGUGGAUGCUGCAAAAGAGGUUUUUGAAUCUUCUUCCUGUAAAGUUGGUGGAAUUUCUCUCUAUGCAGGGGGUGCAAAUUUUUGGUCAGGAAACUGUUUUCCUUCUGUGCUUUUGAAGUGGUCAACACUCUUGAAACUAAAUGUGAACAGGGACUGGAGGAAGGAAUCAGGGAGAAUCCCCUACAAGAUUCCAAUGCCUUUUAUUUCUGGGAAAACUAAAUAAAGCAAGAUUCCACUGCCAGUGGCUGAAUAGCAGUGAUUUGUGAGCUGUUCCUCAAAAGCCCCAGACGAGCACUGAGUCCUGUGGGAAGCUGGAUGGACACAGGACACCUCCAGAAGAGCCUGCUGUUGGAACUUCCUUUUAAGCCUUUUCUCAAGUGGAGAAUCCAGACCUGGCAAAUGCAUAAGGUCAGCCCUUAAAAGAGGAAAGAGCUCUCUUGAGGAAAAUCAAAGAAGUGGCUGAAGUCUGUCCAUUUGUCUGCCUGUCUUCUUGGCCUUGGAUUACUGUGCUUUGCAAAGCUGUGCUUUCAUAACUCAGAUUAAAAGGUAGAUGCCACUACAGCAGUAAUCAUCCUGUUCAUGCCAAAUAUCUGCUGCCUGAGGGAGGGGCACAAACCAGAGGUGUUUCUCAUUCAAACACAAAGCAUCUGGCUUUAGCAUCUGUACAGUCAGUCGUGAACACGUGAGUCCUUUGCCUGCUGUAAUGGAGUUAGUGACUUCUUUUCAGUGGCUGUAGAGAAUUUCACUGAAAUAGCACAGUUUGUAGUCUGUUGUGUGACUUAGGAGACACAAGAGCCAGACAAUUCUGCAGUUGUAAUGUAAUUGCACGUGGUGCUCCCAGAAAAUGCUCUGAAGUCUUCUCCCAUUGCCCCAUUGUGAUAAAAACCUCUGCAGCUUUUCAAGCUCCACAAGUCCUUGCUGUGCUGUGCUGAAAGUGAUGGAAAACCCAAUUAGCUCUGAAAAGUGAAGGGCAGAGAGGGGUGCUCUGGCCUGGAAUUCCCUCCCUUUGGCAGCAGCAAAGGUCAGCCAUGCAGCCAAAUUUCUGUGACCACGUGUGGCUCCAGCUUGUGUGUGUUGGCAGCUCUCUGCACAGGAGAGUGGGAGGGGGGUAGGAAGAAUUGAUUCUGGAAAGGGAGAGCCUGGGAGGAAGAGUGGAGUUAAAUGUGACAGCUGGGAUUUUCAGAAGAUAGUUUGAUGGAUGUUGGGCAUCCAGCUUCCCUAGAACUCUUUAUCAGGAGCACCCUCUAUAUCUUCCUGAGUGACUUUUAGCCUGUCUGGCACUUUUCAGUGUCAGUGUGUGAGGGAAAAGAUGUAGGAGGCACUGAUUUGGCAGCUCGGGGACUGCAAUACAUCCUUGUGGCUGCUGGCUGAGGGUCUGGCUCUCUGAGGAGCUCCUACAGGUCGUUGAACUGGGCUUAGGGAAACCCUGGGCUGCCAGAGGGAGGCUGCUCCUGGUGCAGCUCUGCUGAGUGGUUGUAGAUGUGAGCCUGCAGCCCUUGGGAGGCAAAAUGCACUCCACAACCCCAAGGGAACUGCUCUGUCUCUCAGUGCAGGCCAGCUGUGGGAAUCCUCUGAGCCCUUUAUCCUGGUCUGUGUGUCAAGGCCAGAGCUGCCAUGGACCCUUCCUGCAAGGACAAUUGUCUUCAGAGUCAGUGUAGGUGCAGGCUACCUUUGGAGAAGUGUGAAUAUCCUGGGGACAUCCAUUGGGCAGAAACCUUGGGCCAUGCUGUGUGCCCACACCAUCGGCAGGGAUGCUCUGCUUUUGGUGUGAAACCUUGCUCUGAUGCAUCAUUCCAAGGAAAACAGCUGGAAUUUGCAGGCCAGAUCAUGUGGUGAGAUCAGUAAUUCUAUCUCCCUUGCUGGAGCUGGUUUAUACAGGUCAGGUCCAGCAUUUCUGAGAAAUUGUUCAUGGUGGGGGCUUCUUUUGUUUGUUUGUUUGACUGAAAACAUGAAGCCUUUCAAAUAAAGGGAAUUUUUAGCUGGAAUAUGUCUCCAGGAUGUUUGCUGCACUCAGGCUUUGAGAACACAAAUUCUCUGCAGAAAAUCCCCCCAGACAGUGGGAGAUGAGGUUAUUGGGCUUGGGAGUGCACCAGGGAGAUGGGACUGGAGUGAGCUUGGGACAGCAAUCAUUGUCAUUAGUGCUGGUGCCAUAAAAUGUGCUUGGCUCAAAUCCAGCGUUGCACAGGUGAGAACAUGGUGAAACCUUGUAACUCGAUAUUUGUGCUUGUUCCUACCAGUGUGAUCCACUGUUGAAUAGGCUAGACAUGAAUAAAAUCAGUAUUUUUU
This is a long non-coding RNA of Oenanthe melanoleuca, 6577 nucleotides long. RefSeq lists it as uncharacterized. NCBI's taxonomy places the organism in Eukaryota, Metazoa, Chordata, Aves, Passeriformes, Muscicapidae. The record is from RefSeq and is a predicted model, not a curated record. The transcript is spliced from 3 exons.